This is a long non-coding RNA of Dromaius novaehollandiae (emu), 4028 nucleotides long. RefSeq lists it as uncharacterized. NCBI's taxonomy places the organism in Eukaryota, Metazoa, Chordata, Aves, Casuariiformes, Dromaiidae. The record is from RefSeq and is a predicted model, not a curated record. The transcript is spliced from 2 exons.
CCUGGACCGACGCUCAGCGGUGCCAGGGAUCCCCCGCUCCAUUAUUGCCUCGAUCGGGAAAACGCCGGGGACCCCCCGCUCAGACGCAGAGGUGCGGGUGAUUAUACCUCGAAUCUCCUGGGACCCAGAGGAGUGGGAUGGCAAUAUUUGGAGUACUUCCUCUGACUUGGAGGUGGAAUUUGCAUUAGAAGGAGAACUGACUACUCCCCAGGUCUGACCUCUUGUGCAAUUGAAGGGGGAGAGACAAAUAGAUAGGGAUUCUGUAGAGCAGUGAAGGAUUUAUACGCCAAAAGAGUUAUGUGAGUUUUUAAAUACUUUCCAGGAAGUCUUUGUUAGCCUGGUUAGUGAGAGCAUGGGAUGCAGGUGCUGGAUCGCUUGCUCUUGCAAGAGAGGAGCUGAAUUUAAUGAGCCCCUCAUCAACUGAUGCCCAACUACAGUAUUAUCUUACCCAAUUAACUUCUGCAUGGGAUGGGGCAGGAAAUGUUCUUGUAGCUCCAACAUUAUAUCGAUGGUUGUGCGCCACCGUGGCAGGUGCUUACCUGUCCACAGGUGAGUUAGCUGCUACAGUGGGGGCUUUGGUAAAUAAUAUAAGGGAUUUGGCGCUUGUUGGUGAACUGGAUACUAAGCCAGUGAGAGCAGUUUGGAAUUCCAAGGUGAGAAAAUUGGCAGGGACUACUAAACUGAGUGGAAAGCUAAUGAGGUGACAGAUGUGGACUGAUUUGCUGCAGGCAGGGGUAUUACAUGAUGAGAUAAAUGGUCUUUCUACUGCUGACUUAUUUAAGCAGCGGUUACCUGCUAAUCAGCAAUAUCAGACAGAGCCUACUGCUCCAGCCACAGUGUGGAAAUUGCCACCCAAAAGACAAUGAGGGGGAGGUGGGUCCCCUGCAAUACGAGCAUCCGUUGCGGCUUAGCAUCCAGGGGACCUGACACCCUUAUGUACCCCUGCAAAUUCGCUGGCGCUCUGGAGGAGAAAUUGCUGUGCUUGCUUUAGUAGAUACUGGAGCAGAAGUUACCGUACUACAUAGUGUGGUAGCUCUGGGGAGGCCACUAUCCGUAUAUGUGGGUUGGAAGGAUCGGCCACCCCAGCAGUACAGGCAGUAGUUACAUUAAGAAUCGGCCAAAAUAAUAAUAAUAAUAAUAAUAAUAAUAAUAAUAAUUACCCCAGUUUUAUUAGCACUGAUUCGUGAGUACCUCUUGGGGAUUGACGUGUUACUGGGCAGAGAUAUUCAGACCCUACAGGAGUGGGGGUGGGCUGUAAACCCUGAGAAGGUACAGGGGCUGGACACCAGUGUGCAAUUCUUAGGAAUAGUCUGGAGGGGGCAGACAAAAGCUAUCCCUGAGAAAGUGUGCAAUACUAUUCAACAAUACCCUGUUGCCACUACUGUAAAACAACUACAAGCUUCUGGGGCCUUUUGGGGUUCUGGCGGACCUUUAUACCCCACUUCGCAUAUUUAAUGCAGCCACUACAGCGUUUGACCAAAAAAAAGGGUAGCCAGUGGCAAUGGACUAAAGAGCAGCAGCAAGCCUUUGACCUGUGCAAGGAGGUGGUGGUCCAACAUUCCAAGCUAUUCACUCCGCAUGAGGGACACCCUUUCGCGCUGGAGGUAACAGUUAUGGGGGAUACGAUGUCCUGGGGGUUGUGGCAGCAAUGUGCCCAUGCAAGGCAGGAACCUCUAGGUUUCUGGUCCCGUUCCCUGCAAGGGGCCACAGCAAACUACACACCUCUGGAGAAACAGCUUUUGGCUGUGGUGUGGGCUUUGCAGGAUACCGAAGGAGUUACAGGACAUGACCUGGUGACUGUACACACACCCCUCCCCAUUCAGGCAUGGGUGAUGGAUGAUACAGUCAGGGCCCAUGUAGGGGUGGCCCAAGCUGCAACGCAUUGGAAAUGGGAACACUGCCUACAAGCCCGGUUUAAGGUGUGGAGAAAGAACAUGAGUACCCCACAUGCACCCUUGUUAGGGGAAGUAUGUUUUGAGCAAAUGCCUCUAUUGUCUGAGCCAGAGGGGCUGCCCCCUCCUUGCUCCCCCAAUAGAGCCAUUGCCUUUCCAAGAGGCCCCUCUUUUGGGAUGUUAUCUCCUGAGCGAGUACAAGCCAAACCAACCUGAGCAAUCCCUGCUCGGAUAUCUGUAAUGGAAGAGGGGGAUUGCCCCCCCGCAUACUCGCCUCUGGCGAGGUAGAAUUCUAUACACCUGAGCAACUCAUGAUUACUGAACGAAGAGUUAUAAGCUUACAUUUAAGACUUGGCUGCCCUUCACAGUGUGUAUGGCUGUUUACACCUUUGAUACCUGUUCAAAUAGCCCCACUCUUAUUGACCUCUUCUCAAGAUUUAUCUUUCCAGGUAUCCGUAUCCACGCCAGUGAAUGUCUCACAGGGAGCACCAAUACUGCGAGGAAUCCUGACCCACAGUGCCAGAGUGCCCCAAAUUCAGCAAACACCCUCAAUGCACUCUUUAGUCAGUGUGCGGAUACUAACUCCUCAAAAGGAAAAAUGGCCUGGCACUGUUUUAGCAGAUGGUCCAGGAGCCACUGCUCUAGUUCCUCCUGAUGGCGAUACCAUGCCUUUCUAUCUUCCCAUCAACAGGUUAUCACACCGGCAUCUGGAAGUUGCCGUAGGAAUGUUGCCUCUUGUGACCACGACAGAUGCCCUUCAUCUACAAGACUAUCCAGCCUCCCAUGUAAAUACAUGGAUUUGGCUGGCACAAAGGUCAGCUAACCUCUCUGCUUUCUGUAUUGCAGGAGGACGAUCAGUGGAUGAUGUCUUAACUAUGUGUUACAUAGGUGUACCAGCUCCACUCGCAGUAUUGCAGAGUUAUACUUAAAAAAAAAAAAAAUGAUAUUUCUGUUACUCCCAUGAAUUUAUGCGAUUUGGGUAUUGUUUCCCAAAAGCUGACACCUUGGGCUUACUCUUUCCAUAUAGCUAACAUAUCUAAAGCAGAUAUUUGCUUUCGCUUUGUAGAUGCUGCCUCUGUUCUGCGGAAUGUAACUGAUAUGCAGUCAAUUUGUAAUGACACUAUGAAUAUUACCUAUGCAUCUGCUCACCUUAUACUACCAUUAGGAUGGUUCCUUCUGUCUGGCACUACAGCAUAUACAUAUGUGCCGGCCAAUGCCACAGGUGGCCCAUGCACUGUAGGUCGUGUUACUUUAAGCAUCCCUCCCUUUAUGAUGGAGCGGCGAAGGACCCUGUGGCAUAUCCUAAGAUGCCACUUGUAACUGCCAUAAAAGUUUAUUUUCUCAUGCAGAAGCUCUAGGCCUAUUGUUGAGCCUAGCUGGGAUCCCGGGGGUGGUGGCACAUAAUUGCAAACAGUUAGAGCAUGUUGCCUGUGCUUUGGCUCAAGGCUUAAAUUGGACAUCUAGAGCCAUUGCCUCUUUAAAUAGGGAGUUGGGAGCAGUGUAGCAAGGAACACUGCAAAACCACCUAGGGAUCGACUGCCUCCUACUGCGAGAUAACCACAGACACCAUGACUUUGCCGGGAUGUGCUGUCUCAACAUCACCGAUGGAUCGGCAUCUAUUGAGAAUAUCAGCCACCUCAUACAAGGAGGACUCUUGUUUAUCUCUUGCUUUGUAUUAUGUUAUGUUUUGAUUUCAUUACUUUGUAAACUCCCUUGCCCUCAUACCCCAUGCCCUUCUGAGGAUUGGGACGGCCUGUAACUAGCUUUCCAUCGCGGGGGUGGAGUGUAUGGGAAAGUGCGGAAGAAUGUCGAGGAGAUAGGCGAUGGAAGCUAGCCAGACCCUUCCGUGGGAAAAGGAGCAUCAACAGGGCAUGUUGACCCAUAGUCACGUGGUUCAGCCUGUGCCAGGGUGGCGCUGCACCUGGGCUUUGAAUCGAGAAUAACAAUGAUCUCAACAUGCUUACUGCGCAUGUGUAUGGUACAUAAAAACUUCAUCUAGUGCCCCCUCCAUGGUGUUCCUCACCCUGGACCCAUGCUCAGCGGUGCCAGGGAUCCCCCGCUCCAUUAUUGCCUCGACCGGGAAAAUGCCGGGGACCCCCCGCUCAGAUGCAGAGGUAAUAAAUGCUCCAUAUCGAC